GGGGGUAUAGUGCAGUGGUAGAGUGUACACUUGGCAUGCACGAGGUCCUGGGGUCAAUCCCCAGUACCUCCA
This 72-nucleotide transfer RNA is filed under the name Camelus bactrianus (Bactrian camel). It matches the Rfam family "tRNA". Rfam says of the family: Transfer RNA (tRNA) molecules are approximately 80 nucleotides in length. The record is from Rfam by way of RNAcentral. Lineage: Eukaryota; Metazoa; Chordata; Mammalia; Artiodactyla; Camelidae. RNAcentral also lists the same sequence under 2 other names.